RNAcentral lists this long non-coding RNA (392 nucleotides) under Nicotiana benthamiana. RNAcentral's name for it is "long non-coding RNA (NBEN_LNC041481)". Lineage: Eukaryota; Viridiplantae; Streptophyta; Magnoliopsida; Solanales; Solanaceae. The record is from RNAcentral.
GUUUCUAUAUCCCAUGUUUUAUCUAUGUAUUUUUGGUACUAAUUUUUAUGCCUUACAUACUCGGUACUUUUUUCGAACUGACGCCCUAUUUCACGGGGCCUACUUUACAUGUCCGCAUGUGCAGGUAGGCAAGUUGACAGUCCCCCUCCUUAGGAUAACUGAUCAGCGAGAAUUGGCGUUCUCUACUUGAUCCAGAGCUAUUAUGAUUUUGAUACGAUAAAUUUAUAUAUAUAUAUAUAUAUAUAACGUGUCUCAGUCCCGUCUUUAUACAGUUAGAUUUCUAUAAGAGGUCUGUAGAUAAUAUGUCUAGUUGGGUUGCAUAUGGUCUUGUCGGCUUUUAGCUUUGGAUGUAUAGUUAUUUGUAGCAACCUUGCCGGCUCGCCCACUGUAUU